UACGGGGGGGGCAAGCGUUGUUCGGAAUUACUGGGCGUAAAGGGCUCGUAGGUGGCCAACUAAGUCAGACGUGAAAUCCCUCGGCUUAACCGGGGAACUGCGUCUGAUACUGGAUGGCUUGAGUUUGGGAGAGGGAUGCGGAAUUCCAGGUGUAGCGGUGAAAUGCGUAGAUAUUGGGAGGAACACCAGUGGCGAAGGCGGCUCACUGGACCGGAACUGACGCUGAGGCGCGAAAGCGUGGGUAGCAAACAGG
RNAcentral lists this ribosomal RNA (253 nucleotides) under uncultured bacterium. RNAcentral's name for it is "partial 16S ribosomal RNA". It matches the Rfam family "Bacterial small subunit ribosomal RNA", at positions 524 to 776 of the family's 1533-position model. The record is from RNAcentral.